GAAACCAAAUGUAGACAGUGGUCUAUGUUUAUUGAAUAUGGAUGAUGAUGAUGAUGAUAUAUGUAAGUUGAUGGACAACCAGAAAUGUAAAUGGGCCUAAAGCAUAGCCCAUAAUAACUGAAAUAAAUUCCAGAAGCAUGAUCAAAUGUGAUGGGCCCAGCCCAAUAGACUCUAAAAUUUUAGAAAUUAAUUCAGGCUCUUCCCCAAUUUAUUUCUUCUCACCCAAGAACAUUCCUUUCUCCAAAAUUCCUACAAAUUGAUUUGAUUCUUUUACAAGCUUUGAGUUAGCCAGACAAUUUUGUAUCCCUUCAGUCUCUUGAUACAGGAAUAUGGCGUUGACAAAUUUUAUACUGACGGUGGCAGGAGUGACCGCCGUGGUUUUGCUGUUGAGGAGCGAUGUCAAACAGUCGGCGACCAUCUUCCGCCGUAACGUUCGUCAUAUCCGCAACUGGCUUGAAGAGGAGUCCGCUUCCGCCGCUAAGGAAAUGGAGAAUGCAAAACCAAAGGAGAUACCUGGGAAGGAUAUCCCCAAGGAGGACAAGCACUAGAUUCAUUUCAUGCGCAGGCAACCGCUCAUGGCUGAAGUAGUUGAAUAUGAAAUCUUGAUAAAUCUCUGUGCGAUCAUAUUCCAGAAUAAGAUUUUCUGUUCUUCUAGCACACUUUUUGGUUCUUACGCCCUGCUGCUUAAUAUGUACCAAAAGUAGGACUAAUGAUUAUGUGCUUCUUGUAACCUUUUCCGGGGCUUUUUGUAGAGAGUAACAUAUAUAUAUACAAAUAUUCUUUUACCCUGUGCUUUGCUUACCCUUGGCAUUUGGUUGAGCGUUUCUUGCUUAUAA
Sesamum indicum (sesame) is the source of this 836-nucleotide non-coding RNA. NCBI's taxonomy places the organism in Eukaryota, Viridiplantae, Streptophyta, Magnoliopsida, Lamiales, Pedaliaceae. The record is from RefSeq and is a predicted model, not a curated record.